Molecule: ribosomal RNA, 1031 nt
Filed under: uncultured bacterium
Lineage: Bacteria
Description: bacterial SSU rRNA
Rfam family: Bacterial small subunit ribosomal RNA
Source: RNAcentral
CCUUACACAUGCAAGUCGAACGGCAGCACGGGUGCUUGCACCUGGUGGCGAGUGGCGAACGGGUGAGUAAUACAUCGGAACGUACCUUAUCGUGGGGGAUAACGCAGCGAAAGCUGUGCUAAUACCGCAUACGCCCUGAGGGGGAAAGCGGGGGAUCGCAAGACCUCGCGCGAUUAGAGCGGCCGAUGCCUGAUUAGCUUGUUGGUGGGGUAAAAGCCCACCAAGGCGACGAUCAGUAGCUGGUCUGAGAGGACGAUCAGCCACACUGGGACUGAGACACGGCCCAGACUCCUACGGGAGGCAGCAGUGGGGAAUUUUGGACAAUGGGGGCAACCCUGAUCCAGCAAUGCCGCGUGAGUGAAGAAGGCCUUCGGGUUGUAAAGCUCUUUUGUCAGGGAAGAAACACCGGCUCUAACACAGUCCGGGAAUGACGGUACCUGAAGAAUAAGCACCGGCUAACUACGUGCCAGCAGCCGCGGUAAUACGUAGGGUGCGAGCGUUAAUCGGAAUUACUGGGCGUAAAGCGUGCGCAGGCGGUUAUACAAGACAGGCGUGAAAUCCCCGGGCUUAACCUGGGAAUGGCGCCUGUGACUGUAUAGCUAGAGUGUGUCAGAGGGGGGUAGAAUUCCACGUGUAGCAGUGAAAUGCGUAGAUAUGUGGAGGAAUACCAAUGGCGAAGGCAGCCCCCUGGGAUAACACUGACGCUCAUGCACGAAAGCGUGGGGAGCAAACAGGAUUAGAUACCCUGGUAGUCCACGCCCUAAACGAUGCUGACUAGUUGUUCGGGAUUUACAUCCUGAGUAACGUAGCUAACGCGUGAAGUCAGCCGCCUGGGGAGUACGGUCGCAAGAUUAAAACUCAAAGGAAUUGACGGGGACCCGCACAAGCGGUGGAUGAUGUGGAUUAAUUCGAUGCAACGCGAAAAACCUUACCUACCCUUGACAUGUCACUAACGAAGUAGAGAUACAUUAGGUGCUCGUAAGAGAAAGUGAACACAGGUGCUGCAUGGCUGUCGUCAGCUCGUGUCCUGA